Molecule: ribosomal RNA, 448 nt
Filed under: uncultured bacterium
Lineage: Bacteria
Description: bacterial SSU rRNA
Rfam family: Bacterial small subunit ribosomal RNA
Source: RNAcentral
CUCCAGACUCCUACGGGAGGCAGCAGUGGGGAAUAUUGCACAAUGGGGGAAACCCUGAUGCAGCGACGCCGCGUGAGUGAAGAAGUAUUUCGGUAUGUAAAGCUCUAUCAGCAGGGAAGAAAAUGACGGUACCUGACUAAGAAGCCCCGGCUAACUACGUGCCAGCAGCCGCGGUAAUACGUAGGGGGCAAGCGUUAUCCGGAUUUACUGGGUGUAAAGGGAGCGUAGACGGCAUGGCAAGUCAGAUGUGAAAGCCCGGGGCUCAACCCCGGGACUGCAUUUGAAACUGUCAGGCUGGAGUGCAGGAGAGGUAAGUGGAAUUCCUAGUGUAGCGGUGAAAUGCGUAGAUAUUAGGAGGAACACCAGUGGCGAAGGCGGCCUGCUGGACCGUAACUGACGUUGGGGCUCGAAAGCGUGGGGAGCAAACAGGAUUAGAUACCCCCGUAGA